Molecule: long non-coding RNA, 21310 nt
Filed under: Oryza sativa (Asian cultivated rice)
Lineage: Eukaryota; Viridiplantae; Streptophyta; Magnoliopsida; Poales; Poaceae
Description: long non-coding RNA (OSAT_LNC001423)
Source: RNAcentral
CGGUGAGGUGGUCGAAGUCGGCGGCUUCCUGCGACGCCGACGGCCAGAAGUCGGAGGCGCAGAGGGCACGCUUGCUGCCGGUGGCCGCGCGGUGGGCUUCCCGCUGCGGGAUGAAGUCGGAAAUGAUCGCGCCGCCACACAUCUUUGCUGCUGCUGCGCGCUUGCGGUGCUCUAAGCUGACGAGUCGGUGGAAGGGCGCGUGUGCGUGCGGGAGAGUUGGGGCGUUUUGCUUGCAAAGCGAGCGAGCGCGUGGGCUUGGUUGAGGAGGGGGGAGCGGAGCCGUGGGCCGCGGCUGGUUUAUAUAGAAGAGCGUGGCGGCGCGGGGGGAGCGGACGUGUGUAAAAGGAGAGGGGAGAUCGAUGGUGUGAGAGUUUGUGGAGUGUGACGCGGUAGCUUCCUCGGACGACGGCCGAUCGAAUCGGUGGAUUUUGCGUUGGUUCCGUGGUCGACGCGAUGAAAUCCGGUGCGGUCGCUAUCGUCUCGGUAUUCGCUCAUCGCGCCGCGUGGGUGACUGGGUGACUGACCGACUCUUGAUCGCUCGGUGCCGCCGCUGCUUUCUUUCUGGCUGCUGAUGACCCAUACCAUACGUGCGUGCCCGUUUUACGGCUAGUGAAGAUGGUGACGGCGGCCGCUGCUCCAGUAUACCAUGCCAUAUUACCAUUGCCCUGCGGCGUGCUAUUGUAUUGUACGACGAACCACCUGAUCAACCGGCUAGUUGCACUGCUGUGCUGGAUAGAAUGAGCUGACUGAAACUUUUGGUGUGCGUUAGAAUUACAUUUAGGCUUUGUUUAGAUCUAAAAAAUUUUGGUCAAAAACAUCACAUCAAAUGUUUGGACACAUGUAUAGAGCAUUAAAUGUGGAAAAAAACCAUAUUACACAGUUUACAUGUAAAUUGCAAGACAAAUCUUUUUAGCCUAAUUACGCCAUGAUUUGACAAUGUGAUGCUACAGUAAACAUUUGCUAAUGAUGAAUUAAUUAGGCUUAAUAAAAUCGUCUCGCAGUUUAUAGGCGGAAUCUGUAAUUUGUUUUGUUAUUAGUUUACGUUUAAUACUUCAAAUGUUCAAAUGUGUGUACGUAUACUUAAAACUUUUUAAAAAAACUAAACACACCCUUAAUCCAAAUGGACAUGCUUGACGUACGAUCAGCGUUGGUAAAGGUGUAACUUUUAUUUUGUUUAUUUAGUAUAGGUGGUGAAAAUGAAAUAAAGCCAGAGGAUACGCGCGGACCAUGGUUUUGGACACGGGCGGCUGCCGGCUGCCUCUGUUUUCUGGAAGCAACUUGCGAAGCUGCAUGAUAGAGAUCAGAGUAUCUGCCCAUGUUAGUACUGUGGUGGAGUAGUAUGUGCUCAUAUAUGCUACAGUGUCCAGGGAGUGGCCUGCAUCUGCAUGAGUUAUGUUUGUGAAAGAAGAAUAGCACAAUGUUUUGAUAGGUUUCAACCUGGGCGUUCGGUUUAAACCCACAAUUCGGUUCGGUUUAUUCGGUUGCUAUAAAAUUCGGUUUACAGGCUUCACCACCCGAUCGGUUCUCCAAAAAACUGAAAACCGCAAAAUUCGGUUUCGGUUUUUUAAUUUUGGUUUUCGGUUUUAGCCGAAUUAACCAAAAGUUACUACCACCAGCCACAACAAUACAGAAUUACAUAAAAAUGAACACAAGCAACAUCAUAUAUGAUAUUAUAGAUAUAUCAAAUCCUUAAGCAAGCAAUAACCAGCAGCACAGCUGCAUAGAAUUACACAAAGUAGUCACACAGUACACAAAUCAACAUGUCUCAAGAGUACAGUUACAUAGAUUCAAGAGUUCUUCAUUAUUCAAAUAGAGAAAUAUAAAGUCCCAGGUAGCACCGUAGCAGGCACCCAACAGGCAACAACAGCAUUGCAUACACCAAACCAAGUGUCCAAGACUCCAAAUGAUCACUGAUCAGGACUGAAUUACUGAGUUGCAGCUGGAGUAUCUUCCUUGGAAAUAGAUAGGUCACCAAGUUCUAAAAUAAUAGAUGAUCUCAGUUAGAACAGUCAAUAGUGUAUGAAUCAUGAAGCACAUUAGAAUUUGGAAGGAAAUAAAAAUUUUCUAUGUUACCUUCCUCAAGCAAAGCCAUUUGUUCGCUGUCCUCUUCAACACUAACAUAGUUUCCUCCACGAAGCCAAUCAUUAGCACAAACAAGACGCUCAACCAUUCUUGGGGUUAGUGAGGUCCUAAAGUCAUCUAGAGUUCGCCCACCAGCACUGAAGGCUGAUUCAGAGGCAACUGAGGUGAUAGGAAUUGCCAAAAGAUCACGGGCCAAAUGAGAUAAUAUUGGGAAUCUUGUUGAAUUGGCCUUCCACCACUUUAGAAUGUCAAAUUUUGGUGUGUCCGGCUCAUUAUCUUCUGAUAGAUACUUGUCUACCUCAGAUUUGAUAGUUCCACUUCCACCCUCACUGUUAAGUUGCUGAGUAAUUACUGACAUCCACCUACAACUCACUCUUUUGCUGGUUUCAGCUGUAGAUUCAGAUUCAGUAGGUUGUGGUGCCUUAUCUUUUGGGGUAUACAUUUCCUUGUACUCUUCAAACAAAGCACGAAAAUAGGUAUUCACUGUUUCCCAUACUUUUUCUCCUACUGUAUCCCCAAACAUCACCUUAAUUCCCAUUCUAAUGCAAUUUGAUAGUUUGUAUCUAGGAUCAAUAGCAACACAGAAGAAGACAGUGAAGUUGAGUAGUUGAUCCCCCUUAUCUUUCUCUCCUCUCUUCUCUCUGUCCCCCUGCCUCUCACCAUACUUCUCUCCCCAAUACUUGUAGUACUUCAUUAGCAUUCUUGUACCCAUUUCCUUGCUCAACUUGUCUUCACUAUGAGACCAUUCUCUCAACAGAAGUAAUACAUCAGCAAUCUCAUGGAAAUAAGUGUGAGAUGUUGUACGACUUUGUACAGAAACACGGAGAGUGAGGUCAUAAAAGUGUUCAAGAAAAUCAGUCAUCUUCCUAGCCUUCUCCCAAUCUGCUCUUGUUGGUACCCCUGGACCAUUCUCUCCUUCUAAUUCUAAUUUGUAGUAUGGGUCUUCAUCACUAUAUCUUUCAAAUGCUUUUUGGUACUUCUCUGCAGCAUUUAACAUAAGAUAGGUUGAGUUCCAUCUAGUGCAAAUAUCUAAGUUUAGAAAUGCUUUGCUCUGUACCUUGGCUAACUCAGCACAUUUCUUAAAUUUUACCAACCUAGAUGUUCCACAUCUGAUAAACUUAACAGCAGCACGGACACGUUGAAUUGAUGUACCAAUUUCCUUCAAGCCAUCACCUACUAUUAGGUUGAUAAUAUGAGCAGCACAGCGCAUAUGAAUGUACUCUCCUUCAGCAACACAACCUUUUGACUCAUUCAAGACCCUUCUCAUAUACUUAAUUGCAUUAUUGUUUGCACUAGCAUUGUCUACUGUUAUUGUAAAAACCUUGUCAAUGCCCCACUCAGCCAAGCAGUUCUCUAAUGAUUUUCUAAUGUCCUCCCCUCUAUGUCCCUUAACCAAAAAAAAAACCAAUAAUUUUCUUCUGUAGGUUCCACUCAUUGUCAAUGAAAUGGGCUGUAACACACAUGAAGUUUUGGCUGUUCUUAGCAGUCCAUGUAUCAGUUGUGAGGCAAACUCUUACACAAUUGUCCUUAAAAAAUUUCUUAAGCUUUUCUUUCUCAUCUUCAUAUACUUUAACACAAGCUCUAGUGAUUGUUCUUCUAGAUGGCAGAACAAAUCGUGGACAUGCUAAAGUCAUAAAUUUCCUAAGACCAGAACGCUCAGAUAGGACAAAUGGUUGUUCAUCUUCAAUUAUCAUCUCAGCAAAACACCUUCUAAGUUUAUCUGGAUCAAAUUUCCAAGUGGUCACAGUACCAAGAGUACUAUUGUCAUCACAUGGUGUCAGUUGCAAAGUUCCUUGAUUAUCAACUACUGGUUUGUUAGGAUUCUUUUUGCAAAUCUUCAGAUGAGCUUUCAAGGAUGACGUACCAUUUGUUCUUGAGCCGCAAUGAAAUAGCUUGGUACACCACUUGCACUUGGCCCUCUCGUCCCCAUUAGCAAGUUUGACCUUGCUGAAACUUUCCCAUACAUCAGAUCUUAGAGCCAUUGGUUUUCUUUUUCUGGAUUCUUCAUCAGCUUUCUCUCUAUCCUUGGACUGCUGCUCCUCCUCCUUGUCCUCGCUUGCAUCUACCACUCCAGUAGUUGACACUCCGGUUUCAGUGUCUUGAGAUUGAGUGUGAUUAAUCUCACAAGCAACAGUUUCAUCUGUGUCCCCCAUCUAGAUCAAAUGUUUCAAAUCACUAAAUCAGAACUUACCAACAUAGAACAGCAAUACAACACUCAUUCACUCAACAUGGACUCAACUAGAACAAACGAACAAGAAGUGAAGAACUUACAUAGGAGGACUGCUCGGUCCGCGCCGCCGUUGUCUUGGUCGGAGAACUCCACGAGGGUGUUGCCGGCCCGCCGCCAGCAGCCCGUUUGCCGGCCGCCGAGUUAGGGUUUGGGUCUUUGGGCGCAGGGGGCGGUGUGCUCGCGGGCGGCUCGCCGGGGCCUACAGCUGCUGCUCAGGGGAGGGGAGUGUGGCGCUGCGGCCGUGCGGCGUGCCGCCUCGAGCCCGCGAUGGCGAGGUAGGGCAGCGGCAGCGCUGCGGCGGCACCCUGCGCGGCUGGCGGCCGGGCUAGCGGCUGCGCCGAGUGACGAGUCGGGGGCGUGACGACUGACGAGUCGGGGGCGUGGCGUAGGGUUGGCCUUGCCCUUGAUGGCCUGAUGGGCUGCGAACUGGUGGGCCGUGGGCUGCGCCGCCGCGGGAUAUGUCGGUUUAAUCGGUUGUUCGGUUCGGUUUCUCUAUAAAACCGCCGCCGCGGGAUAUGUCGGUUUAAUCGGUUGUUCGGUUCGGUUUCUCUAUAAAACCGAAGCCGAAGCCGUACACCGAAUAGCACAAAAACAGAAACCGAACUGACAACCGAAAACCGAAAAAAAUGCGGUUCGGUGCGGUUCGGUUCGGUUUGCGGUUUGCGGCUAAAAAAUGCCCAGGCUGAGAUAGGUUUCCCUUUCACCUUAAAGGUGCAGCGCUAUUAACUCUUCACGACCACACACUUAAGGUCUGUAUAUAUACUUUACUAGUAGUAUUUUUUUUAUAAGGCAGCCCAUGGAAAUUACUCCAUAUUACUACCUCCACCUCAGUACAAUCUUUACUUACACGUGAGAGAUAGAGCCAAAAUAAAUUAUGGUAGGUACUAGGUUAUAGUUGAAAAGGACGCUGGCUGAAACGAAAGAUAAGGCUACAUUCACCUUUAAUAAGGCUUUAAAAUGGCCAAGUCUAGACAACUUGCAGGUUGAGGUAGUAGCUUCAUUGAACUGCACAGGACCUGAGGACCAAACCAUGGUCUUCUAUAGACUGUUUGGCUUGGCUGUGUAUAUCCCGGUCAUUGUCAUCCCCAUCCACUUUUUGCCCUAACGUUAGCAAUUAUCAGAACUUAGUGGAGGAGUACUAUAAUAACCUAACUUCUUCCCAAUUUGACAGAAACAAUAUAUUUACUCGGGAACAAACAUGAUAUUGACAACAAACGGAGUAGUUAUAUAUAGCACAUCGGCCGCAGUAACAUAAGAUUAAUGAGCUAAAUUCAGUACUAUGUACUAUAGCUAGCAACUGAGAGUUAGCAAGCAUGCUCAGCUACGUACGGGUCACUGAAUAAAAUGGAACUGAAUAAUCCAAAAUACGAAAGAAUACCGGGAGUCCAUCUGAUAUCACUGCCAAAACCGAAGUGGUCAGCUCACGAAAGAAACACGAACGCCCACCGAAAUGCAACGUUCAACUCAUUGAACCUUUUUUGGCCCAUAGGAUGGCUUCAUUCAGCCGUGGGUUUCAUGCAAGUGUCUACCCUCUACUGCAUGGUAUAUGUAAGGUGAUCGGUAUGGGCCCUGCAAAAUGUAUUUAAUAUCAGGUUAGAGAUAUAAUAAUCAGUGACGGAGUCAGAAAAUUUUCAUGCCGGCUUAGGGCUGAGCUAAUGGGAUCUCAAAUAUUUUCAUAAAUUACAUACUAUUUUUCAAGAUUAUAAUGGGUAUUAUGGAGCUAGGCAUGGGGCUCAAGCCCUAGCUGCCCCAUGUCUGAUUCCGCCCUUGAUAACAAUUUCAUCACAUUUUCUGACAUUUAUUCUCGUAGAUAAUGCAAAAUUCAGAAAUUUUUUUCCUACAGGCAAAGUUUAGCUCGAAUAAAAACACUACUUAAACACCCAUAUAUUCCCACCAUCCUGUAUCAGCAUCUACUACAAAAUUCAUUCAGAAUCUAAUUACGUUUGAUUUCCUUGUAAGCAAACCACAAUGCCACGCGUCCAGCAGUCCUCGCUGAUUGCAUGAAACUCUCCACUUGCAAAGGCACCCCUACAAGUACAAUAUUCAUCAUUACUUAGUAGGGGUAUUAGAUGGCCGUCUGAUUUGCAAAUUCUGUGGACUCUGUGCGACUUUUGACUUCGUUUGACGAUAAGGCUGUCAUGGCAUACUAAAAUGCUAGUUCCAACAAAUGUCUUUCGAGAAAUAUGCUCUUUUUCAGUAAACAAACACUAUUUCUUAUUAUAAUCUUAAGAAGUUAAGAUGGCCUUGAAGUAAAAUACUGUGUCAAACGAACGGCGGACUCCCAUAGAAAAAGAACAGUGUUUUCAUAAUUAGCUAUUGCCAACACCAUCAUGAGCCAAAAGGGAGGGAAGAUAUCAGACGCAAGGAAAGAAUCAAUACUAUCUCUGCCUCCUUGUGAAAGUGUCACCUUUCAGACCAACGUAAGUAAAUUACAGCAAAGCCUCCAGAGAGAUCAGCAACUCCAAUUAUAUCUCCAAGAUGAUAAAAAACCGCUCUCCUUGUGGUUGACACACGCCCAGUUCCUACCCGAUUCAGCCCAAAGGAAUGCAUAACUGAAAACGAUGGCAGUAUGGUAUGGUUGAAAAUUGCUGAUAAAAACACAAAUAUGACUAUUUGACAGGAAAAGGACGACCCUGACAGAAGGUAAGCAGCUGUAAUCAUCCCAUCAGCCCAUGGCAGCAAUUUAUAACAUGUGAAAAUCUGGGGCUUAAAAAACAGAGAAAAUGGAUUUCAUAUAUAGGGAAUAGUACGGAAAGCACACCAGCUUGGUCAAUUUCGCAGGCAGAUUUGAAUCAAAUGGGCCAAAAUCCACCUACAGUCAAUAUAUUGCUUCCAGCUAUACAUAUAGUAUUUGUGUUCAACGAACUGGUACCAACCAACAUUUCACCAACUACAGUAUCUGUAGACCAUAAAAUUCCAGAAAUGCAGGCUGGGUAAGCGCCACCGCAGGUCAGACUUGUAGUUGAUUACCCGAAACCAUUGCAGUAUGCACAAAAACGUGUGCAUAUGUGAAAUAGCCAUUUUUACUCAACGGUCGCCACCAUUGCCGUCUAGAGAGAUACUCACGGCAACUGGAGCUCACCUCUUUUCCUUUUAACGAACUGACACUACUAGUUUUAGUUUCAUUUUGAAUAUAGCAGGAAUAAAAGAAGUUGUAUAAGUGUGAAGAACAGUACAAAGAAAAAUAAAGUUCAGUAAAGCUAAAGAAUAAGCUCUGAGAGUUGUUUUUGCUCCUGCUAGGCUUAGGUUUCGGCAUCCUCUUUAAUUUUUGCCAAUAAGUUUAGCCUCUCUGAUUGUUUUCCUACCAAAUUUCCCUUGUCUUUAGUAGGAUUAAUAGGGUGCGGACUCCUUUUUCCAGUAGCUCCUUACUAGUGGCCAGUACCAUUCACCAGUCACCACUCAUGGACUGUCGUAGUUGUGCUACAUAUUGUUGAUUUGUUCUCCUAGAAUAAGGUCCAUGUUGAUAGUAUAUCUCAUAUUCUCUUCGUGUAUCCGCAUUUCAUUUGGAGGUGGAAAGAUGUCUUUGGGGUGUGCUGGCAUAGUGAGCAAAAGAUAUUUGUUGGGACAAAAUCCAACUAGUGUAUUCAAUGUGAAUUCUGCCCUCAAUCGUGAGCAGUGUUUAUAUAUUUAUACCGGGAUAUACAAGAGGAAAUUACAUUUUUGCCCCUAUCCUAUAGGCUAAUCUAGAGUGGCUGGCUGGUGGGCCAGCCCUCGGGCUCCUAGUAAAAUCACCCGUGACAAGGACGGCUGCGCCUAUUAGGGAAUCGGCGGCGCCCCCGAGGAUACUAGCCACUGCCUGGGUAAAGCCGCGCUUCCCGGGUAGUGGCCUGUGCAGGCCCGUCCCUGUCGAGACGCCAGAGGUGGUUGGCGGAUACGUAGUGCGUAUUUAUUGCCCCCCAUCACGCCUUUAGGGGUCCACCGUGGCUUCUAGCUUAAGGCCUUCUCAGUCCUUCGUAAUCCUAACCAACUCCGGAGAUCCGUUAGCAGCCGGAGGUCGAUUGGCCCCCAGAGGCCCGAUGUCAUUGGAGGCUUGUUGGGUUCCGGCGAUUCGGUGGCCUCCAGAGACUCCAUGGGGCUCCGGCGAUCAGGUGGCCUCCAGGGGGGCUCCACGGGGCUUCGGCAGUCGGGUGAUCUCCGGAGGCUCCGCGGGCCUCCGACGGCCUGAUACCCUCCAGAGUUAUAACGGCCUCUCGAGGCUCGAUUGACUUGGGGCUCUUGAACGCUUAGUCGCUUUCCCAGGGCGGGUAGCUCCGGGACGGAGGCUGCCUGACGGAGACUAGCUCCGUAAUUCCGGAGCCACUCCUCAACAAUAUUGUUUAGCCAACCACGAUUGCUAGUCUGUCAAAUAACCACACUCUGUUGUACACAAUUAGCCAAGAGAGGAUCUUGUAUUUCUUCGACGUCCAUGGCUUUCAUAUGAUCAUCUCAUAGUUCGUGUUAACGGAGCCAAAAAAAAAACUACAAUUUGUAAGCGAAUCCUACCGUGUACUAUAUGUGCAUGCCUUGUGUAUUGUUACAUAGGAUAACCAAUUGAUCUAGGAGCUAGACAGUUAUACCCUUGUUAGGUGAGAGGUUGAGGUCUUGUAUCCACAUUUUCAUGUUCAAUGUCUUACUUUAAAGUUCUAUUUUUUUUCUAGAGAUUGCACAAACUCUUGGUGCAAUAUCCUUUGGCCGUCUAUACCAUGCAUUCAGGUCGAGUUCCAAAAAUCGACAGUGGAACUGGAGCUCACCUCUAACAAUGGUAGGCUGUCAUGAAAGCUUGCCAUCAUUGAAGCUUUCUUUUGUUUUCAUUUUCUGCAUAAUACUAUCUCACAUUCUCAUUAGUUAACCAGAUUAUCUGGUUCCAGCAUUUUGUCCCCCUGUUGCUACUUGUGGUACCUUAGAAGAAUAUAGAUAAUCUGCUUGGGCCUUGAACUACCGGGCUAUACUCAGGAAAUGGGCCGGCCACCUACUACAAGCCACUGAUCUCCCCCCUUUUAUUUGUUCUACGUAGCCACAUGACAUCCUUCUUCUGUAGCCAUCUAGUAGCCACAAUUCAGGCUUAGAACAAGUGAUCGUAUUAAGUAUAUACGAAAUUGACCUGUAGCAUGUAUUCGAUGUUUUUCUCCAACUGAAUGCAGUGUCAUUGCUCAGCACGACAUAGAACAAAUUCAUGUCCUGCUUGUGUUCUGCAAUCAACCAACAAGUUAAAUUUUAAAAGUAUAAUUAUAGUAUUAAACUGUUAAAUGUUAAUGUUGCCACUGUGUACCUGGACAGGUAAUUAAACUGCAUGCGCUUUGAAUUUGUCAGUUCGUUUUAUUGAUCCGAAGUAAACCAUAUAUUAAAACAAAACAGAUGUCUGAAUUUGUUAGACAUGGAACAAAGCUGCAGGUAUAGUGAGUGAUGCGAUUGCUAACCUCCUUCAGAGUUCAGACGUAUCUGAAAUUCUGAAUUUACCUUGUAAGUUACGAUGUUUCACUAGCAGCUCCAUCUCGAAAUGUUCUAGUAACUCUGAAUUAACAAAGGGCGCUAAUUGACACUGGAAACUCCACUAUGAUCGUAGAAAUCCAAAUCUAGAAUGGGCAAAAGUGGUACGGUACAAGCAUUGCCGGCCUCGACGACCUCGGUUAGUACGAUCAGCAGUCUUGAUCAACGGCUAAGAUUCUUCCUCGUAGAUCUGACGACAAAACGGUGAUCAUUUUUCAAACAAGUCCCUUGUUUGGAUCGCUACGAACCUACGACUACGGAUCAGACCGAUCCGGAAUUUUGCAGACAAACACCGUGUUUAUUUCCAAAGUUUUUUUUUUCAAACUUCCAAGUUUUUCAUCACAUCAAAAUUUUUCUACAUACACAAACUUCCAACUUUUCCGUCACAUCGUUCCAAUUUCAACCAAACUUCCAAUUUUAACGUCUACCAAAUCUAAAUUGUCUGUUCAGGCUGUAGCUAAAAUAAACCUUACCAAAUUUUGACUAUUUAACAAUAUUAUCAAGUUUUGGUAGAACUUUUUAUGUAUUUACUAGAAUUUGGUAAAAAAUUAAAUAGAUGCACAUAUUUGACAACUUAAAUAUGAACAACCCAAAUUAGAUUGAGGAAUCAGAAUAUUAUAAUAGAGUAAGUAUAAAAUCCAAUAGUAAAAAAAUGCUCUUUAUAAUGCAGUGGUAAGAGGUGUGUGAUUUUAACUCUUAAGUCCCGUGUUCAAUCCAUCUCGAAAAAAAUCUAAUAGUAAACAACGAUGAAAUUUAUAUAUGUCAGUCUUAAACUAAUCUAAACAUAUUCAUUUUAAAAAUAUAUUUGUAGUGACGUCUCUCUUCAAAUCACGAAAAGAUCUAGUAUACUAGUAAAUAACGAUGAAGUUUAUAUAUGUGAACUAAUCUAAACUUUGGAUUCCGAGGCCUCUUUAUUUAGAGUUAGGUUUGUUGGCUUGGACUUUCAAACAGUUUAUUGGUUUAUAUGAUUUAUAAGCUGGUGAUUUAAUAUUCUAAAUUUAGUGGUGGAGUCAUACGUGUAGCUCACAUAAACAAAAAAAAAAACUUCUCCAACCUAGUUUUUGGCUUAAUAGUAUUAGAGUGGCUUAUAGUUUUAAAAAAGCUAACUUAUUUAUUUAGGUUUAGAUUUUUCGACUUAUAGGUUAGUUUAUAACUCUGAGUGUGUGGCGCUGUAUUCUGUGGAGUCGUAUCCCAAGCCAAUUUUAUUUGCCAAACAAAACAUAUCCGGCACGGCAGCGCCUGAUCCAAACUUGCUAGGGUCGCUGUCAGGCGUGACAAACUGAGCAGUACUCCCCUUCCUUGAUUCUGGACAAGAUAUCCGCGACGACCAGUAGUGGCAUCGGCGCAUCGCCUCCUCCCCUUCCUUCUCUUCUCUCUCCUAGUCGUCGCCGGCGGGGAGCGAGCGAUGCUGACCUCGGGGCUGCUGCGGCCGGUCGACGAUGCGCACGCGAUCGACGAGGCGGCGCUGCUGCGCUACGCGGCGGAGCACGUCGCCGGGUUCCCCUCCCCGGCGCGGGGGCUGGCCCUGACGCAGUUCGGCCACGGCCAGUCCAACCCCACCUACUGCAUCGAGGCCUCCGCCCCCGGCGGGGUCACCGCGCGCUACGUGCUGCGGAAGAAGCCGCCCGGCGCCAUCCUCCAGUCCGCCCACGCCGUCGAGCGCGAGUUCCAGGUCGGGGUUUCGUUUCUCUGUCCCCCUCUUCUCGCUUCGAUUUGCAGCGUCCCGUGAUCGAUUUAGCUCCACUUUGUCCGAUGGUAUGAUGGGUACUGGUGAUCGAUUGAAAGCUCCAGUUUCUCCGAUAGUAUGAUGGAUGCCGAUCUGAUAUGAUUGGUAGGUAAGGGCGGGCUUGUUUGCUCGAGUCAAAGUGCGAAAGCACUAACGAAAGUGGAAUCAGCAUUUCCUGGUGAAAAGGCUCAAAAAGUCAGGAGUCAUGCGUCCAGAUUUCUGAGUUCCAUUUGAUGAUAGUGAUGCAAAUUACUCUGGAAUUAUCAUGUCGAACUUAUUUCACUGAUUGAACUACGUAAAUCCAGCUGAUUAGUGAAAAGUGUACAUGUAAAGUGCAUAUGCUACUGGCUAGGUAGUUUUUUUUUCCUGUUUAGUACUAAGAGAAAUACGAAACUGACGAGCGAAUGAGCGCUAUGAGCUAAUUCCUUGAGUUGUGUUUGAAUUGGAGCAGGUCCUCAAAGCUUUGGGCACUUACACUGAUGUUCCUGUCCCUAAGGUGUUCUGUCUUUGCACUGAUGCAAGUGUAAUUGGAACUCCUUUCUAUAUAAUGGAGCAUCUAGAAGGACUAAUAUACCCAGACAACAAGUUGACGGUACGCUUCUUGUGAGCAUUCUUUGUCUUGCAUAUUCUUCAGACUGUUGGUAUAUGCAUUACUUACUGGGUGAUGAUUUAGUAUGAAAUCUGUACAUUUUUACCUAUCAGGUAGGCGUAUUUCUAGGUCAUGAGGUUCCAUGUAGCAAAUACCGGGCAUUUAUUCUUCUAUGUGCGUAAGGAACACACCAAAUGAAACCUAGUAUUGGAGUUGAUUAAGAAGUUGCUACCUUGCCGUUGGACAGCAUCUAUGCGACCCUGAUUAAACACUAAAAUUAUAGAAGGCAAUAACAUAGCAAUUUUUCAAAUCUUUCCUCCUUACACCAUUACAGUUGAUGUAGCAGCUGAUAUGAGAAAUCUCACCAUCCAAUGACGGGUUUAUAUAUGCUCCUUGAAAUGUAUUCCUUGAACUGAUAAUGAUUGUCUUCAUGAUGAUUUAGUAAAAAGAAUUUCUGUGCCCUUUGUUUAUGCAGGGAGUAACUCCAACUAAAAGAAAGACUAUAUAUCUUGCAGCUGCUGAAACUUUGGCUGCUAUACACAAAGUUGACGUGACUGCAAUUGGACUGCAGAAGUAUGGGAGAAGAGAUAACUAUUGCAAAAGACAAGUAGGUGAUACCAUGUUUCAUGGUAUUUACCUUAUAUUUGAUUACGCUUAUCUCAAUCUCUCUGAUUCUGAUUGCUUUGUAAAAACAAAACAAAACUCCAUUCAUUUCUGUUGUCAUUGAGUUGCAUAAUAUAGUUUUUUGGGCAUCGGUACAGUUAACAGCUGAGCUGAAUGUAACUCUAGAAUCUUCUCUCCCCAUUUUUUUUGUUUAUUUUAACUGGGGUCAGGCCAUAGCUCCUAGGCCAAGGAAAGGAAUUGGAUACUCCUAGGUGGUGUAUCAGUAGUAUACUAAUAUUCUUAAUCUAUAAGUGAAAUAUGCAUAUAGACAUGUAGUUUCUCGUGAGUUUUGAGUAUCACUUGCUUAUGUGAGUACAGCAAUGGAUUGCCUGUUCCCAGCUGUUACAACCUAUGAUUUGAUCACUUUAAGUUCAAGAGGAGAGUUUUAGUUGUCAUGUUGUGAUUUGUGAAUGAUGAUUGCUGUGAUAAUCCAUUUGCAUCUGAAGAUAGUUAACCUAUUCUGGUUUAGGUAGAAAGAUGGGGGAGGCAAUAUCUCUCUUCCACUGGUGAAGGGAAGCCUGCUCGUUACCAGAAGAUGCUUGAUCUAGCUCAUUGGUUGAAAGAACAUAUACCAAAAGAAGAUUCAUCGGCAGGAUUUGGAACAGGUCUUGUUCAUGGUGAUUACCGUGUUGAUAAUCUUGUUUUUCAUCCAACAGAGGUUUGCAUCUUUUUUGGCAUCAUAAGUAUUUAUGCAUUUCAUCAAAAACAAGUAUUUAUGCAAUCUUCUAAUGCAUCACGGGCAUAUUACUAGUUGUUUAAGUUCUUCAACAUACCACUUCUCAUGCAGGACCGAGUUAUUGGUGUACUUGAUUGGGAACUAUCUACUUUGGGUAAUCAAAUGUGUGAUGUUGCAUACAGCUCUUUGGUAUGAAGCACUUUAUAUUUUUAAAAUAUUGUUAUGCAUCCUUUUUAUGUUGUGUUUUUGUGCUGUUAUUAGACAGUCUUAACUCUUGAAAGAAACAUUAAGGAAUGAUAUGUCUUAACUGAAUUUAGUUAUAUAGUAUAUAUAAAUGAGGAGUAUACAUAGUAAUUUCUUUUAGUCACUCUAAUACUUUGAUAGCAUUUGUAUUUAAUUCCAGAGAUCUUGACAUUUUUUCUGGCCAUAGUUGGUAACAACCAGAGAAAUAUGUGCAUACAUACCCCAAUUAGAAACAAAGCUGGCAUGCAUAUUAAUUUUUCAAUUGAUUUAGUGUAAUAUUUCUUGCAUGAUAGACUUACAUUUGAUAUGGAAUCAGCUUGCAGCAUGUCAAUAUGUUUACAAAGCAACUAUAUCUGCUAGCACUGAGUACAUAUCUUUGGAAUUUUGGAUUUGCUAUUAUCUCAACAUGCUAUAUUUGCUACUCCACUAUCAAUGUCCCUACUUUCUAACCACACCUUGUACCAAUAACUAAUCAAUUAUGUCUGAUAGCACUUAAAUUGAUUCGUAGUACUAGGAUGUGUCCCAUCCAUCCAAAAUCCCUUAUAUUUUGGGACGGACGGAGUAUGUUUUACUAUGUGUUCAAUGGUAUUAUUAAUCACUUUGAUCUUGAUUAUUAUGAUUUGUACGUGCAGCCGUAUAUUAUUGAUGCAACAACUAGUACAGGUUAUUCUUAUGGUGGAUUUGAAUAUACUGGCAUUCCAGAUGGCAUUCCCCCACUGGAAGAGUACCUCGCUGCAUACUGCUCUAUCUCUGUAAGAAUCACGUCUCCUACAUCUUGGUCUACAAGUUAUUCUUAUGGUGGAGUUGAACAACAUCUUGAUACUGGCUGAAUAUAUACACCAAACUUAUUGCUUCUUUAUUCCUCAUUAAUCAUUAUAUUCUUUAAAAUUGUUUCUCAGGCAAGACCCUGGCCGGCUGCAAGUUGGAAGUUUUAUGUUGCCUUUUCGCUUUUUCGAGGGGCAUCUAUAUAUGCAGGAGUAUAUCACAGAUGGACUAUGGUACUUAUCUGUAACCCUUGAAAUCUAAUUCUGCUUAUAUAUUCUAAUUUAUUUGAGCUGUCACACAGGGUAAUGCUUCAGGUGGUGAGCGUGCUAGAUUUUCUGGCAAGAUUGCUAAUGCUAUGGUUGACCGUGCCUGGGAUAUCAUAAAUAGAGAAAAUGUCCUGAGAGAACAGCCUGCUAGGGGUAAUUAUAUUUUAUAAUCUCUCCACAGUCCAUACCAUAUGGUUGGCGAGUGCAAAUGCUGCUUAUUUUUUUCUUAAAUUUCUAUGGUUAUUUCGUAAUAAUAGUGUUGGCAAAGACAUGAAAAAUGUGGUUAUAUUUCUUUAUUCUUUCCAAGUCUAAUAAAAAAAAUUAACUUCUUUACUUUUAAUAUCAGGUAUGCAUGCCUCAAAUGGCCCAUCGCAAGAAUUCCAAAGAAAGCAUGAAGGAUCAAUUUCGACAAAAGAUCAAGGAAAAUUUGUUCCUAGUGAAAAGGUUAUGCAGCUUCGAAACAAAUUGAUGAAGUUUAUGGAAGAUUACAUAUACCCGAUGGAGAGUGAGUUCUAUAAACGCGCACAUUCGACCUCAAGGUGGACAAUUCAUCCAGAAGAAGAAAAACUAAAAGCCUUAGCAAAGAGAGAGGGACUAUGGAACUUGUUUAUUCCGGUAACUUUCCCUUUUUUUAUAUUAAAACCUUAAGGCCCUUCAUUUUUUUCCUGAUACAUUGAUUCAUCACACAUAUUUGUCGUGUUAGUACUGUAGACUGCAUUUAUUUUGGACUUUCUUCUUCUAAUCAAAAUGUUUGAUCUGCAGCUAGACAGUGCUGCUAGAGCAAGAGAGCUUCUGUUUGAGGACAUGUCUCAUGGUUCUCCUGGAAGUUCUGAGGAGCUUUUGCUAGGUGCAGGUCUCACAAAUCUUGAAUAUGGAUAUCUAUGUGAGAUUAUGGGCCGUUCAAUUUGGGCUCCACAAAUAUUUAACUGUGGUCCACCUGAUACAGGCAACAUGGAGGUAAGAUACAAAUUAUCAUAUUUUUUUAUAAGAAAGACUUUAAAAUACAUUCAAGUAUCUUGUUAAUAGAGCAUAUGUUGAGGAGCAACACUCCAUAUCUCCACCUUGUUAUAGGUCCUGUUGAGAUAUGGGACUAAGGAGCAACAAAAGCAGUGGCUUGUUCCUUUGUUGGAAGGGAAAAUUCGUUCUGGAUUUGCAAUGACAGAACCACAAGUUGCAUCUUCAGAUGCAACAAACAUCGAGUGUUCAAUAUCAAGGUGAGAAAAAAGGGAAAUAUUUGCAUGCAUUUUGUUGCCAGUCCUUGAGGCUGUUGUUCUUUAAUUACAAGUUAUUAUCUACUUUAAGGGCUAACAGACCUAAUUCAGUGUUUAUUCGGGAAACUAAUGAUACUGUACUUCUUACCACUAUCUUGGACAUUGUGUAGUUUAAGCUGUUUACGUUGUGCUUACUCGCAAGUUAUUUGCUCUUGACAGGCAAGGAGAUUUCUAUGUGAUAAAUGGAACGAAAUGGUGGACCAGUGGGGCUAUGGAUCCAAGGUGCCAAAUUCUUGUAUUAAUGGUAAUUGCAACAUUUAUCAAUGAAUGCAUGCUGUCAAUAGUUCAAUUUUUUUAUUUUAAUAUUAAAGCUGUUUGUUUCUCUAUAUACAGGGGAAGACAGAUUUUUCUGCACCUAAACAUAAACAGCAAUCGAUGAUUUUAGUUGAUGUCAAAACACCUGGAGUGCAGAUAAGGAGACCGUUGUUAGUAUUUGGUUUCGAUGAUGCACCUCAUGGGCAUGCAGAGAUUACUUUUGAGAAUGUGCGCGUUCCAGCCACAAAUAUUCUCCUUGGGGAAGGCCGGGGUUUUGAGAUUGCUCAGGUAAGCCGUAUUCUGCAUCUUGUACCAAUUAUGCUACUGUAAUAUGUGCUCUCCACAUCAUAUUUAAGAUGCUUUGCAGGGAAGACUAGGCCCUGGAAGAUUACAUCAUUGCAUGAGACUAAUAGGGGCAGCAGAACGUGGCAUGAAUUUGAUGGUCGAGAGGGCCUUAAGUAGGACCACUUUUGGAAAAAAGAUUGCGCAACAUGGUUCCUUUUUAGCAGAUCUGGCGAAGGUAUGACCUGUUUAUCUGCUUAACCAUGGUCUUUUAUGAAGUUCCAUCAUUUUUUCUAUUGCUCAGUUCAGGAGUGUCCUAAAAUAUUUUUAGUGCAUUUUCCUGUUGUGUUCUGUUAUUUGCAUUCCUUGACAUGUACGUGGAAUCCAGUGCCGGGUAGAACUGGAGCAGGCUAGACUUCUGGUGCUUGAAGCAGCCGAUCAACUUGACCGACAUGGGAACAAGAAAGCUCGUGGUAUCCUUGCAAUGGCCAAGGUGAGUCAAGGAUCAGCACCUUCUUUCUAAUCGUUUCUAGCAAGAACAGAAGUUCAGUGAAAUAUGGCCUCAUGUAGGUGGCAGCUCCAAAUAUGGCCCUGAAAGUGCUUGACAUGGCAAUGCAAGUUCAUGGUGGUGCUGGUCUCUCAUCAGACACAGUUCUAUCACAUCUAUGGGCAACUGCUAGGACACUGAGGAUCGCCGACGGCCCUGAUGAAGUUCAUCUUGGGACAAUCGCUAAGCUGGAGCUGCAAAGAGCAAGGAUGUAGUCUCGCGUCAUCAGGAUGCCGCCCAGAUUUCAUGAAUAAUAAAUACUAGGGGAGAGGGAAAUCGUUGUGUAACAUGUCCCCGUUUUUAUUGAACGAAAUUGGAAAUGACACUACGAUAGUUGUCACUUGUAUAGAAUGGUUGAUAUGUGGCGUGAAAUUUGUGGAUGUUGUACUGCGGGUAUUACUUCAACUGUUAGCUAUUGCACUGUCAUCUGUCCAUAAUUCGACACCAACAAACAACCGUACCUUGUUGUACAGCAGAGACGAAUAAGAGCUCAGAAGCAAUGAACCUAUCCCCUUCCAAUGAUUAGCCUUCGGCCAUUGUAGGCUUCAACCCUCGUAACAAAACACUUGGUGGUGAUGGCCUGGUGGUAGCUCCAGGUUUACUACAAAUUAUCUUAAACCUGUGAUGAGCUACUCUUAUUCCAAAAAGGACCAAAACCAGUAUAAGACCCAAAAAUCCCCAUCUCCAGAGACUGUCCAGAAGCCACCACUUUCAGCUCAACCCCAAGAUGUAGGGGAACGAGCUGGAGUUGAGCCAGAGGUCACCCUGCACGAAGUUGAGCACGGUGAAGUUGGCCGCGUCGGUGGCGUUGGUGAGCACGUGGUACCCCGGCCACGACACCCUCGCCGACGUGUCGGCGCCGUCGCCGCGGUUCAUGUACUCGGCGUAGUAGAGCGUGUCGAGCGCGAAGCUGCCGUUCCACUCGAGCCACCCCCUGGGGUGUAUCAGGCUGUCGAUCUUGGACUGCAGGAACACCGUGCGCGAGUAGGUCUUCCACGGGCGGCCGAGGUAGGAGGAGAAGUUGGCCUGGACGGGGACGAGGUCGGCGGCGGCGGCGACCUUGCAGCCCUGGAUGGCGAUGCCGGUGUUCUGGUUGGGGUCCUCCCGGCCCUGCGCCGUGAACACAUUCUUCUGGUUGGGGUCCGGGCGGCGCGCGUAGAGGUUGCAGUUCUGGAGCACGACGGCGGCGUCGCCGAAGAUGAAGUCCACCGUGCCGUAGAUGUCGCAGUCGCGGUAGAACUGGCGAAGCGAGUGCGCGUACAGCGUGUCCUGGUAGCCCGCGAAGCUGCACCGGUAGAACGCCGACAGGUCGGCGUUCACCCGCAGCGCCACCGCCUGGUGCUUGCUCGGCCCCGCCGCGUUCUCCACCGUUAUGUCCCGCGCCAGAAACCCCGUGCCCACCACGGCUGCAACAACCACACCACAAUUUUUUUCACACUGUCAGUUUAUUACACACGACGCUCCACAGCUCACGUGAGCACGCAUGAUCGAUGCAACGUUGAUAUCGCGAUGUGGUACUACAUGUCCUAUGGCCUAGCAACAGCAGCCGAGAGACGACACAGACAACUGCAUUCAUAGUGCGGACGUUCGUACGUGGGCGAUCCGGCGAUGAUGAGUAGUAGUACUACUAUUGCUACUACGUGCAAACAUUGGCCAUGGCACCGACGAAACGCAUUAACCUCCACCGACACACGACAGUGGCGUGUCAACCACAUCCCGUCUCGCUGAGCCGGAGUUAAGGCCACGAUGCUCUCCCGCUGCGGGGAGCGUCGCCUCAGCCGCUACUGCAGUAAUGCAGUUACGAGCCAUAUCGAUCUGUUCUUAAAAAAAGAGCCAUAUCGAUCGGUUUCAAAAAAAAUUUGUUAAGCUCCCAUGGUUUGUACCGUGCGCGUGUUCAUGUCGAGCAACCAGCAGGCAAAGCCACGCGAAUUGGUACGGCGUCUAGUGUCACUUUGCUGUUGGUACUUAGCUAAUGUGGCAUCUUGGUCAUAACCAAUAAGCCUCAAAGAUCAGAUUCACCUCCAACGAACACGAUCAUGGCUGGUCAAUUUCUACUCCAUUGCCACUGGAUUGUGAGUGCUAUAACUGAUUGUUGGUAUGAAUGUGUGAUAUGCCUGUGCAUGUAUGCCUUCGCUCUUAAUUUCUUCUAGAGAAGCAGCUUGGAGGAUGGGGCAAACCCGGCAUCCCCACAGGGGACCAGCUAGUGCUGAUCGACACCAGUUCACAUCCAACCAACGAAAAAGGGAAAAAUGAUGUAAAAAAGAAGAAGAAAAGAAGAGAUCCGAGAAAGUUUUUAGUAUUCCAUGGUGUUAUAAUUGGCUACCCUUUUGUACAAGUGGUUGAAUGCGCUCAGAUCAGAGAGUUGCUCAGGCCAACAAGCCAAUGUUGUUUCUUGUUUGCAGCCUUUUAGGCAGAGCACGCAUAUGCAUCUCGAUUUUGCAAAUUGCAGUGCUCGAUCGCCAGCCACGCGUUUAAUGGCUAAUUCCCCCCUCACCUAACCAUUCCCGUGCUGCAUAACUCCAAAUGCCAAGAGCCCAAGAGCAAGAAGAAACUGUGCCUGUACGUACUCCUAGCACUGUACUGUAGGGUAAAUAGUAUAAUGUCAUCUUGCAUUGAAAACCACCUCCUGGCCCGGUGUGUUUGGUACCAGGUGAUGGGUGAUAAAUUGGUUUUGUAUUGACCAAUCCGUAAUCAAAUCCUCUAUCUACAAUGAGACUUGAUUCAAACUUGCUAGUAUUCUUCGCAAAGUCUCGCUGAAGUGUCUUACGUUUGUGAUUUACUGAUUCCUAGAGCUCAACCUUAAUUCUGCGUGCUUACAACAAGCAAAACCAUGCGUACUUGACAGCGAUACACGUGACCGAUGUAGUCUACGUAGUACUUACGUACGUACACUCGCUCACGAGCUGGGCCAUGUACUACAAACUAGGUACAACAACUGAUUGGUUUGUCGGCAACUCGACAUCCCCCGAUCGAACCAACCGACGCGCGCGGCUGCUGGAAAAAACGGACCAGAGGCGUGCGUGGGAUACCUGCGAUUUGGGCGGCGUCACCCACACAAACGACAGCGCCUCGUGCCAAACAGGAUGAGAUUAUAUUGGCCCCUCUCAUCCAUGGGCAACUCGCAGUAAUUUAACUACACGUUGGAACACGUACGAUGAUCUAGAUCGAGUUCACUUCUCACCGGUGUGCAUGCAAAAAAAGGUUUGGAAAAUUGGUUCACGAAUUGAGCAAAAGGAUUGGUUACCGAGCGUGGCAGAGCGGAAGGUGGUGGAGUUGUCGACGACGUUGCGGCUGGCCUUGAUGACGGUCUUCCACGUGCCGUCGCCGACGAACAUGAUGUUGGUCUUCUCGCUCCCGACCUCCACGUUCUCGAAGUACCCGCCGGCCUUGAUGUAUAUCACGUACCGCGUCUCGCUGUUGUUCGGCGCCGCCGCCACCGCCUCGCUCACCGUCGUGAACUUCCCGCUCCCGUCCUUCGCCACCACCACGUCCGCCGCCACCUGCUGCUGCAGCCGCCUCCGGUCCGACGCCGACACCCACGACGGGAACCCGCGUCGCACGCGGCCGUACCCUUCCAAUGGCUCCUCCUCCGCCCCGCGCCGCCGCUGGGUCGGGAGGCGCCGCACCAUGGCGAGCGAGUUGGAGACCAGGUGGGCGACGUGGUAGAUGCGGCCCUGGAUGAACGGCCGGACGCGCCCGUCCUCCGAGGCGGACGGCCCGGCGAACCCGUCGAGGCAGGUGUACUGGUUCGUCAUCGCCGCCGACAGCACGGUCUGCACGCCGGCGGCGGACUCCUCGGCGGUGCUGUUCCCGGCGGAGAGCUCCGCGGCCGCCGUGCCCAGCAGGUCCAGCGUGUGCCCGAACAGCUCGAGGCAGUCGGACAGCGCGAGGCGGUCGCGCGUGCGCAGCUGCCGCGGCCGCUGGAGGUAGGACGUGCAGUUGGACGACGACGCGCGCACCGCCGACGCGGCGCGCCCCACGACCUCGGAGAUCACGUCCCGGAGCGGCUUCCGCGCGAGGUUCGGGAUGGUGGACAGCGUCGACACGCAGACGUCCCGGUGGAGCGUCCCGGCGCAAUGCCGGUCCACGGCGGCCGCGUGCUCGGCAUCGGCAUUCCUCUCGCCGCCGUCUGCUGCAAGAAGCACGCGCGCGCGGUGGCCGUCGUCGUCAGCGACGGCGAAUGCCUUGUGCGCGGUGGAGAGCAAGCUGAGCAGCAGCAGCAGCAGCAGAAGGGAGAGGAAGGUGGUGG